GACGAACGCUGGCGGCGUGCUUAACACAUGCAAGUCGAACGGAAAGGCCCUGCUUUUGUGGGGUGCUCGAGUGGCGAACGGGUGAGUAACACGUGAGUAACCUGCCCUUGACUUUGGGAUAACUUCAGGAAACUGGGGCUAAUACCGGAUAGGAGCUCCUGCUGCAUGGUGGGGGUUGGAAAGUUUCGGCGGUUGGGGAUGGACUCGCGGCUUAUCAGCUUGUUGGUGGGGUAGUGGCUUACCAAGGCUUUGACGGGUAGCCGGCCUGAGAGGGUGACCGGCAACAUUGGGACUGAGAUACGGCACAGAGUCCUACGGGAGGCAGCAGUGGGGAAUAUUGCACAAUGGGCGGAAGCCGGAUGCAGCAACGCCGCGUGCGGGAUGACGGCCUUCGGGUUGUAAAACGCUUUCGCCUGUGACGAAGCGUGAGUGACGGUAAUGGGUAAAGAAGCACCGGCUAACUACGUG
RNAcentral lists this ribosomal RNA (468 nucleotides) under uncultured bacterium. RNAcentral's name for it is "partial 16S ribosomal RNA". It matches the Rfam family "Bacterial small subunit ribosomal RNA", at positions 28 to 507 of the family's 1533-position model. The record is from RNAcentral.